Molecule: unclassified non-coding RNA, 349 nt
Filed under: uncultured Bordetella sp.
Lineage: Bacteria; Pseudomonadati; Pseudomonadota; Betaproteobacteria; Burkholderiales; Alcaligenaceae
Description: partial 16S-23S ribosomal RNA intergenic spacer
Rfam family: Bacterial small subunit ribosomal RNA
Source: RNAcentral
GGUUUAUCCUAGCUCAGAUUGAACGCUGGCGGGAUGCUUUACACAUGCAAGUCGAACGGCAGCACGGACUUCGGUCUGGUGGCGAGUGGCGAACAGGUGAGUAAUGUAUCGGAACGUGCCUAGUAGCGGGGGAUAACUACGCGAAAGCGUAGCUAAUACUGCAUACGCCCUUCGGGGAAAGCGGGGACCUUCGGGCCUCGCGCACUAUUAGAGCGGCCGAUAUCGGAUUAGCUAGUUGGUGGGGUAACGGCUCGCAAGGCGACGAUCCGUAGCUGGUUUGAAGGACGACCAGCCACACUGGGACUGAGACACGGCCCAGACUCCUACAGGAGGCAGCAGUGGGAAUUUU